UACGGAGGAUGCGAGCGUUAUCCGGAUUUAUUGGGUUUAAAGGGUGCGUAGGCGGCCUGCCAAGUCAGCGGUAAAAUUGCGGGGCUCAACCCCGUACAGCCGUUGAAACUGCCGGGCUCGAGUGGGCGAGAAGUAUGCGGAAUGCGCGGUGUAGCGGUGAAAUGCAUAGAUAUCACGCAGAACCCCGAUUGCGAAGGCAGCAUACCGGCGCCCGACUGACGCUGAGGCACGAAAGUGCGGGGAUCAAACAGG
This 252-nucleotide ribosomal RNA is filed under the name uncultured bacterium. Its description in RNAcentral is "partial 16S ribosomal RNA". It matches the Rfam family "Bacterial small subunit ribosomal RNA", at positions 524 to 776 of the family's 1533-position model. The record is from RNAcentral.